CCUACGGGAGGCAGCAGUGAGGAAUAUUGGUCAAUGGACGAGAGUCUGAACCAGCCAAGUAGCGUGAAGGAUGACUGCCCUAUGGGUUGUAAACUUCUUUUAUAUGGGAAUAAAAUGUUCCACGUGUGGGAUUUUGUAUGUACCAUAUGAAUAAGGAUCGGCUAACUCCGUGCCAGCAGCCGCGGUAAUACGGAGGAUCCGAGCGUUAUCCGGAUUUAUUGGGUUUAAAGGGAGCGUAGGUGGAUUGUUAAGUCAGUUGUGAAAGUUUGCGGCUCAACCGUAAAAUAGCAGUUGAAACUGGCAGUCUUGAGUACAGGAGAGGUGGGCGGAAUGCGUGGUGUAGCGGUGAAAUGCUUAGAUAUCGCGAAGAACUCCGAUUGCGAAGGCAGUUCACUGGACUGCAACUGACACUGAGGCACGAAAGUGUGGGUAUCAAACAGGAUUAGAUACCCCAGUAGUC
RNAcentral lists this ribosomal RNA (460 nucleotides) under uncultured bacterium. RNAcentral describes it as "partial 16S ribosomal RNA". It matches the Rfam family "Bacterial small subunit ribosomal RNA", at positions 338 to 795 of the family's 1533-position model. The record is from RNAcentral.